CAUUACUUGAAAUGACGGAUUGAAUCUGUCCCUGGCGGCACCACGGCUGUUUUAAAAUCAUCAGCCGAAGGAAGAAAAGAGCUCAGGAGCCACGCCAGUUUUGCUGUUACUUUUAUUGUUGACCGAAUGGCCCACCGACCUCGACACCCAGCAGGUGUGAAGAAGCACCACCUGACUGCCAUGUUCAGCAUCACUGCUUCACUUUCACUAGACCAGCCCACAUCCCCUCCAAGAGGCUGGCUGCAGAUUCAGAGCUGCCUCUCCAAAGCCUCUGUGACCAGAUGACACGAGCAGACCUGUCCUUCUCCCAUUGUGUCAGCACCAAUGGAGGAGCUUCUACAAAUGAAGUCAGGAGUGGUCUAGAUCCAUCCCCAGGUGACUUCAGCCAUGCCCAGUUCAGCUGGACGUCAUCAUACUUCUGCCACCUCCCAUACUGUCCUCUCCAGGUCUUCCCUCAUCUUUGUCCUGGCUGAAGCUACAGCUUCGUGGCUCAUGGUCGUCUCUGUGCUGCUGUGGCCCCAAGGGGUCAUAUUUUACCCUUCACUACAACACAUCCUCCCCC
Chelmon rostratus (copperband butterflyfish) is the source of this 562-nucleotide long non-coding RNA. RefSeq lists it as uncharacterized. NCBI's taxonomy places the organism in Eukaryota, Metazoa, Chordata, Actinopteri, Chaetodontiformes, Chaetodontidae. The record is from RefSeq and is a predicted model, not a curated record. The transcript is spliced from 4 exons.